Non-coding RNA from Cyprinodon variegatus (sheepshead minnow), 735 nucleotides. NCBI's taxonomy places the organism in Eukaryota, Metazoa, Chordata, Actinopteri, Cyprinodontiformes, Cyprinodontidae. The record is from the annotation of a RefSeq genome assembly.
AUGACUUUGAUCUGCUUCCUCAUCUGGACUCUCCUCUGCUUCACUCAGGGGUCUGAUGGACAAACUGUUGCUCUGACUCAGCCUACAGCCAAAUCAGUGCAGCCAGGUCAGACUGUCACGAUUAACUGUAAGGCCAGUAGUAUAGUAGGUCAAAACUCUGUUUCACAGUACUACCUUGGUUGGUACCAAGAGAAAAAUGAAAAGGCACAUAAAGCUCUGAUCUCCAGAACAACGAUCAGAUAUUCAGGAAUCUCCUCCAGAUUCACUGGAGCAGGGAAUGGAAUAGACUUCAGUCUGACCAUCAGUGGAGUUCAGGCUGAAGAUGCUGGAGUUUAUUACUGUCAGAGUGCGCACUACAUUAACAGUCAGUGGCUAUGGACUUUUGGUGGAGGAACCAGACUGCAGGUUGGAAGUGAUACCCGCCCUGUCCUGACAGUGCUGCCCCCCUCCAGUGAGGAUCUGCACCAGGGGAAGGCCAUCUUCAUGUGUCUGGCCAACAAGGGCUUCCCCUCAGACUGGAGUCUGUCCUGGAAGGUGGACGGCAGCAGCAGCAGCAGCAGUUGGGAGGAGAACAACAGCCGAGGAGUGCUGCAGAAAGACGGCCUCUACAGCUGGAGCAGCACCCUGAGGCUCCCUGCAGACCAGUGGAGGAAGGUGGGCUCUGUGACCUGCGAGGCCACCCAGGGCUCCCAGUGUCCAGUGACAGAGACACUGAAGAAAGACCAGUGUUUCUAA